This 72-nucleotide transfer RNA is filed under the name Dactylonectria macrodidyma. Its description in RNAcentral is "Ilyonectria macrodidyma tRNA". It matches the Rfam family "tRNA". From Rfam's summary of the family: Transfer RNA (tRNA) molecules are approximately 80 nucleotides in length. Their secondary structure includes four short double-helical elements and three loops (D, anti-codon, and T loops). Lineage: Eukaryota; Fungi; Ascomycota; Sordariomycetes; Hypocreales; Nectriaceae. The record is from Rfam by way of RNAcentral.
GGAUCGAUAGCUCAGUGGUAGAGCGGGAGAUUGCAGAUCUUCAGGCCGCGUGUUCAAUCCACGCUCGGUCCU